ACAGUUAAUGAACGGAUGUUGAUACAUUAUUAACUAGAGUUUGUACUUGAGUCAGAGGGCCUUGGUUUUUACCAUUUCCUCAUCCUGGAUUCCAUCCUUCGUCCUUUUGGCUGUGACAGUUUCUCAGACUCACCUUGCUUUUGAUGCCCGUGACAUUUUUGAGGAGUACCGAUAAGGUAUUUUAUACAAUGUCCCUCAUUUGGGAUUUGUCUGAUGUUUUCUCACAAUUAGACUCGGAUGAGGAGUUUUUGGCACUGAACACAGUCCACCCUUAAUUAGAAGGAGUUUUGCUUCGAGUCUUUGGAGCCCUGCAAAGUAGCACAGGUGAUCUGUCUACUCUCCUCCACUAAUUUAUUCCGUAACUUGUUUCCAUCAGCAGGGGCUUGUGGCUAUUCCACACUUGGAGUUAUAAUCCAGUAACACUUUGUUUUGUGGCUCAGGUUGUUUCCGUUUGGGCCAUCGGGAACUCUUUCAUUUGGCGCCUGUGUUCCUUUGACAUACCUACAACACUGUGAAUUUUUUUUUAAGCAUUAUCUUACUUCCUAGCUGCACAAGGGGCUCAGCCUCAUGUUUUUGCACAUUUCCUGCUGGAAUCCGAGAAGGAGCCCUUUCUCCAAGGGGCCCUGGUUCCUGUCACUGGAGAAUGGUCUCAGAAGCGGAGGUCCGGCUUGGAGGUGUCCACCGCGCCUGGAGAGGGCCCGAGGGCCGCAGGAGGCGUGAAACAGCAAGGGAGCCACCUGAGCCCUCGCUGUUGCCGGUGGUUUUGAUUUCCUUUGAUUUCCCGGCCUCAUCUCGCGGUCCUGGGCGGAAAGGCGACCCGCAGUUAAAAGGCGAGAGGCGCCGCAGCGCCCGCAGCAAGAGGAAGCGUCCGGGAACCUCUGCGGCAGCGCGUGAGUUGGGCAGCGCUCCUCGCCCGCUACCCUCCCAGCCGCUGGCGGGUCCCAGAGUCAUCCAGCAAGAGACCGAUGGCCAGUGUGAGGCCUGAUAUCCCUACUCAUGCUAGUCAACAUUCUGUGGACACCUGUGAUCCUUCUGGAACCAUUCCAAAGCCUUGGAAUCUCAUCAUGAACAGCUAAAACUGUGAGUAAGCAUCUGGCUGAAUCAGGGGCAGCUCUUGCGGGGAGGGGGGAGCAGGGAAACAACCAUCCUGCUGCUUGGUGCACUCGUUCCACAGCUGGCCCUAAUGAGCCAUUUAUUUGUUGACCUUGGACUAGUUGCUGAAGAAUGAUGGAUGGAGAAGCAUCCACUGGGGGGACUGUGAAGGCAGCUUUCUCUCCUGAGUAAUGAUCUGUUCUUUCAAGGCAGCUGUGCUUUCAACCCAAGGUCUCUGACCCAAGUAGAAGCAUCAGUGCAAUAAAUGCAUUAAGAAGCCAAGGCCA
RNAcentral lists this long non-coding RNA (1379 nucleotides) under Sus scrofa (pig). RNAcentral describes it as "lncRNA (ENSSSCG00070015323.1)". The record is from RNAcentral. Lineage: Eukaryota; Metazoa; Chordata; Mammalia; Artiodactyla; Suidae.